AGCCGCCUAAGCACUCUAGAAU
This 22-nucleotide small nuclear RNA is filed under the name Arabidopsis thaliana (thale cress). Its description in RNAcentral is "snRNA_09507". Lineage: Eukaryota; Viridiplantae; Streptophyta; Magnoliopsida; Brassicales; Brassicaceae. The record is from RNAcentral.